UCAAGCUACAAAGGGCAUAUGGUGGAUGCCUUGGCGCCAUGAGCCGAAGAAGGACGCGAUAAGCUGCGAUAAGCCGCGGGGAACUGCAAAUAAGUAUAGAUCCGCGGAUUUCCGAAUGGGGAAACCCGGCAGUCGUAAUGGGCUGUCACCCGAGAGGGAGGGAACCCGGUGAACUGAAACAUCUAAGUAACCGGAGGAAGAGAAAUCAAACGAGAUGCCCGUAGUAGCGGCGAGCGAAGGGGGCAUAGCCCAAACCGUGGGCCUUCGGGCCUGCGGGGUUGCGGACCGGCGUAAACGGACGAGUUGCUAGUAGAAUUACCUGGAAAGGUAAGCGAGAGAGGGUAAAAGCCCCGUAUACGAAAGCGACGAGGACGCGGCCGGGAUCCAGAGUACCACGGAGCACGAGGAAUUCUGUGGGAAGCAGGGGGGACCACCCUCCAAGGCUAAACACUCCAUGGCGACCGAUAGCGCAGAGUACCAUGAGGGAAAGGUGAAAAGAACCCCGGGAGGGGAGUGAAAGAGAACCUGAAACCGUAUGUCUACAAGCAGUCGGAGCGAAAGCGACGGCGUGCCUAUUGAAGAAUGAGCCAACGAGUUACGUGCGCCAGCGAGGUUAAGCAGAAGAUGCGGAGCCGCAGGGAAACCGAGUCUGAAGAGGGCGAAGAGUUGGUGUACGUAGACCCGAAACUGCAGUGAUCUACGCAUGGCCAGAUUGAAACGCAGGUAAAAUUGCGCGGAGGAUCGAACCGGGACAUGUUGAAAAAUGUUCGGAUGAGCUGUGCGUAGGGGUGAAAUUCCAAUCGAACGCAGAGAUAGCUGGUUCUCCUCGAAAUAGCUUUAGGGCUAGCCUCAGGCAGUAAGCGCAGGCGGUAGAGCACUGAUCGGGAUAGGGGCCGUAAUGGCUACCGAACCCUGUCAAACUCCGAAUGGCAGCGCUGCAGAGCCUGGGAGUCAGACUACGAGUGAUAAGAUCCGUGGUCAAAAGGGAAACAGCCCAGACCAUCAGCUAAGGUCCCCAAUGCCGUACUAAGUGGAAAAGGAUGUGGGGUUUCAUAAACAACCAGGAUGUUGGCUCAGAAGCAGCCACCAUUUAAAGAGUGCGUAAUAGCUCACUGGUCGAGAGACCCUGCGCCGAAGAUUCCCGGGGCUAAAGUACGGAACCGAAGCUAUGGAUGCAUCCCUCGGGAUGCGUGGUAGAGGAGCGUUCCCAUCGGGCAGAAGUCGUUCUGGAAGGAACGGUGGACUGGUGGGAAGUGAGAAUGUUGGCAUGAGUAGCGAAAAGAAUGGUGAGAAUCCAUUCCACCGAAAACACAAGGAUUCCUGAGCAACGAUCGUCGUCUCAGGGUAAGUCGGGACCUAAUCCGAGGCAUGGAGCGUAGGAGAUGGACAUCCGGUUGAAAUUCCGGAACCGGCAGGAAUCGUCAAGAGCAAGGGAGUGACACAGGAAGGCAGGCGCGCAUGAGAUUGGAAGUUCAUGUGCAAGCGUGCGACGCGCGGGACAGGCAAACCCAUCCCGCACAAGCGCCAGGCGUGACGCGGAGGGAACCGGAAGGGACCCGAAGGCGCUGGGCCUACACUGUCGAGAAAAGCUUCUAGCAAGAGACCUGCCGCCCGUACCGUAAACCGACACAGGUGUGUGGGGAGAGAAUCCUAAGGUGCGCGGGAGAACCCUCGUUAAGGAACUCGGCAAAAUGUACCCGUAACUUCGGGAUAAGGGUAGCCGUCGGGCGUGAAGGGACCAGCUCCUGGAGCGCUGGAUGGCCGCAGAGAAGAGGCCCAAGCGACUGUUUACCAAAAACUUAGGUGCCUGCCAAAGCGAAAGCUGACGUAUAGGUGCUGACACCUGCCCAGUGCCGGAAGGUUAAGGAAGGAGGUCCGGGUUCGACCCAAAGCCUUCGACCGAAGCCCCGGUGAACGGCGGCCGUAACUAUAACGGGCCUAAGGUAGCGAAAUUCCUUGUCGGGUAAGUUCCGACCCGCACGAAAGGUGUAACGAUUUGGGCGCUGUCUCAACGAGGGACCCGGUGAAAUUGAAAUACCUGUGAAGAUGCAGGUUACCCGCGACUGGACAGAAAGACCCCAUGGAGCUUUACUGUAACCUGACAUUGGGUUCUGAUACUGCAUGCACAGGAUAGGUGGGAGGCACGGAAGCCCUUCCUUUGGGGAGGGCAGAGCCGCCGUUGGGAUACCACCCUUGCGAUAUCGGAAUUCUAACCGUAGCGGUAACGACGCUCGGGACAGUGUCAGGCGGGCAGUUUGACUGGGG
RNAcentral lists this ribosomal RNA (2265 nucleotides) under human gut metagenome. RNAcentral's name for it is "bacterial LSU rRNA". It matches the Rfam family "Bacterial large subunit ribosomal RNA", at positions 3 to 2279 of the family's 2925-position model. The record is from RNAcentral.